GCCCUGGUCGGAACCAGGGCCGACGAACAGGAG
This 33-nucleotide non-coding RNA is filed under the name unclassified sequences. RNAcentral's name for it is "L31-Coriobacteria ribosomal protein leader". It matches the Rfam family "L31-Coriobacteria ribosomal protein leader". The record is from RNAcentral.